This 496-nucleotide ribosomal RNA is filed under the name uncultured bacterium. Its description in RNAcentral is "partial 16S ribosomal RNA". It matches the Rfam family "Bacterial small subunit ribosomal RNA", at positions 29 to 523 of the family's 1533-position model. The record is from RNAcentral.
AGUGAACGCUGGCGGUAGGCCUAACACAUGCAAGUCGAACGGUAGAAGUUAGCAAUAACUUCGUGAGUGGCGCACGGGUGCGUAACACGUAUGCAACCUACCCUUAACUGGGAAAUAGCUCGGAGAAAUUCGGAUUAAUGUCCCAUAGUAAAUUUGAAAAGCAUUUUUUGGAUUUUAAAACUACGGUGGUUAAGGAUGGGCAUGAGUUCUAUUAGAUAGAUGGUAAGGUAACGGCUUACCAUGGCUACGAUAGAGAGGGGGCAUGAGAGGGUUAUCCCCCACACUGGUACUGAGACACGGACCAGACUCCUGCGGGAGGCAGCAGUGGGGAAUAUUGGACAAUGGUCGGAAGACUGAUCCAGCCAUGCCGCGUGCAGGAAGACGGCCCUAUGGGUUGUAAACUGCUUUUAUUAAGGAAGAAACCCCUCUUCGUGAAGAGGGCUGACGGUACUUUUUGAAUAAGCACCGGCUAACUCCGUGCCAGCAGCCGCCGCCG